ACCAGACUCCUACGGGAGGCAGCAGUGGGGAAUAUUGCACAAUGGGCGAAAGCCUGAUGCAGCAACGCCGCGUGAAGGAAGAAGGCCUUCGGGUCGUAAACUUCUGUCCUUGGGGAAGAAGAACUGACGGUACCCAAGGAGGAAGCCCCGGCUAACUACGUGCCAGCAGCCGCGGUAAUACGUAGGGGGCAAGCGUUAUCCGGAUUUACUGGGUGUAAAGGGUGCGCAGGUGGCAGGGCAAGUCAGAUGUGAAAGCCCGGGGCUCAACCCCGGUAUUGCAUUUGAAACUGUCCGGCUAGAGUGCAGGAGAGGUAAGCGGAAUUCCUAGUGUAGCGGUGAAAUGCGUAGAUAUUAGGAGGAACACCAGUGGCGAAGGCGGCUUACUGGACUGUAACUGACACUGAGGCACGAAAGCGUGGGGAUCAAACAGGAUUAGAUACCCCAGUAA
Molecule: ribosomal RNA, 448 nt
Filed under: uncultured bacterium
Lineage: Bacteria
Description: bacterial SSU rRNA
Rfam family: Bacterial small subunit ribosomal RNA
Source: RNAcentral